GGUCUGAUAGCUCAGUUGGUAGAGCAGAGCCCUGAAAAGGCUUGUGUCGGUGGUUCAAAUCCUCAGACCACCA
RNAcentral lists this transfer RNA (73 nucleotides) under Candidatus Pelagibacteraceae bacterium. RNAcentral's name for it is "tRNA-Phe". It matches the Rfam family "tRNA". From Rfam's summary of the family: Transfer RNA (tRNA) molecules are approximately 80 nucleotides in length. Their secondary structure includes four short double-helical elements and three loops (D, anti-codon, and T loops). Lineage: Bacteria; Pseudomonadati; Pseudomonadota; Alphaproteobacteria; Candidatus Pelagibacterales; Candidatus Pelagibacteraceae. The record is from RNAcentral.